GAGGCCUGAGGGCGGCCGUGAGGAUAAUCUGCCUCUUUAGUGAAAGCACCUCCUCUUCUACUGAAAGCAGGACAACAGGGAGCAGCUCAGAAGGGACCAGGCAGCACCUCAGCGACCGCCCAGCAGAUGGCAGCACAGGCACACGGACAGACCGGGACACCUUCGCCACAGAAUUCAUAAUAAUAAUAAAAAAAAUAAAAUGCAAAGUCUCUUCCUCUCAACUCAAUUUCAGUGCUGGUUAUGAGGAAUCAGGAUAAGUUACAUUCUUUGUAUCGUGCCUCCUGGUAUUGCCAACUUACCUUUUCCUGCAGGAAUUCCCAUCAUUUCUAGGCAAAGCAAAGACUGAAUAUUCUGCCCGUUUCAUUUGCCCCAAAGGUGUUUAACUGCAGCCCUUCAUUUGCAGACAACACUCGGGUGAGAAAUAGUAUUGUCUAAGCCACUUGAGAUACAAUUUUUCUGUUUCACCUCUCUCACUAUAUAAAAUUUGAUGUUUUAUGAUUCACAAGGAGUAGUGAAAUGGAUCUAAGGAAGUAUUGAUUACAAGCCACUGAAAUUGCCUGUUAGAUUGUUGCCCUUCAGUUUAAAUACAACUUUAAAUAAUUUCUUAGUUUAAGCAUCCCGUUAUUCUCCCCAAAUCUGCCACUUUUAUAAUGGUUACUAUAGAUUCUGUCCGUCCUUCAGGGGAUGACUGGAUAUUACAUGUUCUUCAAAUCACUGAGUGAACAGUGAGAAGAUUAAUACUUUUUCAUAGAC
This 753-nucleotide long non-coding RNA is filed under the name Calidris pugnax (ruff). RNAcentral describes it as "lncRNA (ENSCPUG00000004113.1)". The record is from RNAcentral. Lineage: Eukaryota; Metazoa; Chordata; Aves; Charadriiformes; Scolopacidae.